This is a long non-coding RNA of Ornithodoros turicata, 319 nucleotides long. RefSeq lists it as uncharacterized. The transcript is spliced from 4 exons. The record is from RefSeq and is a predicted model, not a curated record. NCBI's taxonomy places the organism in Eukaryota, Metazoa, Arthropoda, Arachnida, Ixodida, Argasidae.
CGCCCCCACCUGGCUGCAUUCAUCGCCGCGCGAUGAAUACAGCACGGUAUCUUUCGACGGAGGUUCUUUCAGUGGAUUCAGGAAGGAACUGGUGUUGCCACGGACGCCGCGUGAGGGAUUCACAGACUGCGAGGAUAGUCAUGGAGUUGGAAGAAAUGGGAUUCCUCCAGUAACGCGAGGGAAAACAGUUUCUCCGUUAUGCAGAUUGAAGUUUUCCGGAACGACCUUUCUCAAUUGUGAGCGCUGCCUUCGAAGACUAUUCCUAUUCAGGCGCCGUUACUUCCAACAAAACCGGUAAAUAACUACAGUUACAAGCUGG